Ciona intestinalis (vase tunicate) is the source of this 96-nucleotide non-coding RNA. The record is from RefSeq. NCBI's taxonomy places the organism in Eukaryota, Metazoa, Chordata, Ascidiacea, Phlebobranchia, Cionidae.
UAAGUUGUAAUAUGUUGUGUCUAUGUUGUCAAUACUUAUUAUAUUAUGACUUCACAGACGUGUAGAUAAAGUAGACACACCCGUUGACCAAUCAAA